This is a non-coding RNA of Gossypium hirsutum (cotton), 104 nucleotides long. The record is from Rfam. Lineage: Eukaryota; Viridiplantae; Streptophyta; Magnoliopsida; Malvales; Malvaceae.
AGACUAUGAUAUGAACAUUGGAUCAUCAUCUUAAAAAAUUCCCAAGCUUCAUGAAAGCUUUUUCCUUCUAGUUGCUAAAAUGUAGCAAUCUCCCACCUUAGUUG